UACAGAGGGGGCAAGCGUUAUUCGGAAUUAUUGGGCGUAAAGGGCGCGUAGGCGGUUGGGUGUGUCAGAUGUGAAAUCCCGAGGCUCAACCUCGGAACUGCGUCUGAAACUACUCGACUAGAGUACUGGAGAGGGUAACGGAAUUCACGGUGUAGCAGUGAAAUGCGUAGAUAUCGUGAGGAACACCAGAGGCGAAGGCGGUUACCUGGACAGUUACUGACGCUCAGGCACGAAAGCGUGGGGAGCAAAAGGG
This 253-nucleotide ribosomal RNA is filed under the name uncultured bacterium. RNAcentral describes it as "partial 16S ribosomal RNA". It matches the Rfam family "Bacterial small subunit ribosomal RNA", at positions 524 to 776 of the family's 1533-position model. The record is from RNAcentral.